CCUACGGGCGGCAGCAGUGGGGAAUAUUGCACAAUGGGCGCAAGCCUGAUGCAGCCAUGCCGCGUGUGUGAAGAAGGCCUUCGGGUUGUAAAGCACUUUCAGCGGGGAGGAAGGCGGUGAGGUUAAUAACCUCAUCGAUUGACGUUACCCGCAGAAGAAGCACCGGCUAACUCCGUGCCAGCAGCCGCGGUAAUACGGAGGGUGCAAGCGUUAAUCGGAAUUACUGGGCGUAAAGCGCACGCAGGCGGUCUGUCAAGUCGGAUGUGAAAUCCCCGGGCUCAACCUGGGAACUGCAUUCGAAACAGGCAGGCUAGAGUCUUGUAGAGGGGGGUAGAAUUCCAGGUGUAGCGGUGAAAUGCGUAGAGAUCUGGAGGAAUACCGGUGGCGAAGGCGGCCCCCUGGACAAAGACUGACGCUCAGGUGCGAAAGCGUGGGGAGCAAACAGGAUUAGAUACCCCAGUAGUC
RNAcentral lists this ribosomal RNA (465 nucleotides) under uncultured Klebsiella sp. Its description in RNAcentral is "bacterial SSU rRNA". It matches the Rfam family "Bacterial small subunit ribosomal RNA", at positions 338 to 795 of the family's 1533-position model. Lineage: Bacteria; Pseudomonadati; Pseudomonadota; Gammaproteobacteria; Enterobacterales; Enterobacteriaceae. The record is from RNAcentral.